Non-coding RNA from Triticum aestivum (bread wheat), 135 nucleotides. Lineage: Eukaryota; Viridiplantae; Streptophyta; Magnoliopsida; Poales; Poaceae. The record is from Rfam.
AUGUUACUCCCUCCGUUCGAAAAUACUUGUCAUCAAAAUGGAUAAAAGGGGAUGUAUCUAGACGUAUUUUAGUUCUAGAUACAUCUCUUUCUAUUUGUUUUGAUGACAAAUAUUUUUGGACGGAGAGAGUACUAU